This is a long non-coding RNA of Arachis ipaensis, 1476 nucleotides long. RefSeq lists it as uncharacterized. NCBI's taxonomy places the organism in Eukaryota, Viridiplantae, Streptophyta, Magnoliopsida, Fabales, Fabaceae. The record is from RefSeq and is a predicted model, not a curated record.
CUUCCCCAAUUCUUAUACACGGUCCUCCACCACAUCCUUAACUCAGUCAUAAAUCCAGUGAACCAACCCUUCACCCAGAGAAGCUCUCACCUCUUGCACUCUCGCCUGUCUUUGCUGUUGUCGACGAGGACUGCUCAUCUCCCGUCGCCGUCUCGGUCUCUAGAAGGUGCCUAUCGCGUCGCCGUCUCUACCCGCGUGGUCAUCGUCGGUUCCGGCCUACUUCUGGCUCGUCCCUCUUCUUCGGAAUUUAAGAUGGCUAGGAAAGGUCGUUAUAUGAAAAAAUCAAAAAUAGGACCAGGAUGUCAACAACCUCAAACGGCUCCACUUCCGGCUUCGGCUUUUCACCACAAUGACUCUCAAAUUCCCUCCGUCAGCGGUGAUAGUGUCCCUACAACCUCACGUCCGUUCCAUCUACCGCGCAAUGAACCAAGGCCUACUCCACAGACGAGCACAAAUAGCAUUUAGAACUCGAAGCCAGGCCACAUAAACUUGGACGCUAAUGCAAAUGAGGUAGAUUCUCUUGAUCAAGAAGACGUCUUUGUUGCUUUUGGAGCUCAGAAUCGCAAAGGAUGCAAGACUACAGAGUUUUAGACGGUUAAGAUCAUCGAUUUCGAUGGCACAAUCAAGCCGGCAAAAUUAAGUGUGAGGAGGCUAUGGAACGGCCUAAUGGUAAAAGGAUCAUGCUCAAGUUCAACAACGAAAAGCAGGCAAUUGGAGACAAAGCUGGACUGUUGAGUGGCGUUCUUGGUCUGCCAGGAUCUGAUUAUGGAAAAAUUUUUAUCUAUGAGAAAAGUUGGCGUAAUAUUACCACUAAAAACAAGGUUUAUAACGAAUGUGUCAAGCAAAUUUUUCACUUUGAUGAAGAUAGUGAAGGAACUAUCAAGAAAAAUAUUUUGAAAAGUAUGGGGAAGUCCUGGAAGGAUACAAGGCUGAGGUUGUAUAAUGCUUAUUACGAGCCAACAUCAACGACUGAACAAAAUAUUGAGAAUCGUCCGCCGGAAAUUGCUCGAAAGUAUUGGAGAUGGUUCCUUAGUACACAACAAUACAAUCACAAUUGCAUUGAGUCUUUUUAAAUUAGUUUCUAAUCGUCCUUUAUCUCUGAUGGACCAAUAGGAGAAGUGCAGAAAAAACGCGAUAAAUAGAUCAAAACAACUAUAUACUGGCGGUUCGAAAAGCUUCACACGACAGAGGGAAGAAGAAGUACUUUACUUUUUUAUUCACUCUUCGGACUUGUACUUUACUUUUUUGUUCACUCUUUGGACUAUCUCUAUGUCUACAUUCUUCUUGAUUGUAUGGAAUACGGUAAUGGCAUAAACUUUGUUGUUAUAGUCAGAACAACAAGGAAGGAGAGUCGGUAGAAGAGAGUUAUGGAUCAAAGUGCACAAAAAAAAGAUAGCUCAUAUAUCAAUGAUGAAGCAAGAGCAAUUGGUGUAAGUACUAUUUAUUAUAAUUGAUCUUCAAAAUUAUGAUCUCAAA